UACGGAGGGUGCGAGCGUUAAUCGGAAUUACUGGGCGUAAAGCGCACGCAGGCGGUUUGUUAAGCUAGAUGUGAAAGCCCCGGGCUCAACCUGGGAUGGUCAUUUAGAACUGGCAGACUAGAGUCUUGGAGAGGGGAGUGGAAUUCCAGGUGUAGCGGUGAAAUGCGUAGAUAUCUGGAGGAACAUCAGUGGCGAAGGCGACUCCCUGGCCAAAGACUGACGCUCAUGUGCGAAAGUGUGGGUAGCGAACAUG
Molecule: ribosomal RNA, 253 nt
Filed under: uncultured bacterium
Lineage: Bacteria
Description: partial 16S ribosomal RNA
Rfam family: Bacterial small subunit ribosomal RNA
Source: RNAcentral